GAUGAACGCUGGCGGCGUGCCUAAUACAUGCAAGUCGAGCGAACGGACGAGAAGCUUGCUUUUCUGAUGUUAGCGGCGGACGGGUGAGUAACACGUGGAUAACCUACCUAUAAGACUGGGAUAACUUCGGGAAACCGGAGCUAAUACCGGAUAAUAUUUCGAACCGCAUGGUUCAAAAGUGAAAGACGGUCUUGCUGUCACUUAUAGAUGGAUCCGCGCUGCAUUAGCUAGUUGGUAAGGUAACGGCUUACCAAGGCAACGAUGCAUAGCCGACCUGAGAGGGUGUUCGGCCACACUGGAACUGAGACACGGUCCAGACUCCUACGGGAGGCAGCAGUAGGGAAUCUUCCGCAAUGGGCGAAAGCCUGACGGAGCAACGCCGCGUGAGUGAUGAAGGUCUUCGGAUCGUAAAACUCUGUUAUUAGGGAAGAACAUAUGUGUAAGUAACUGUGCACAUCUUGACGGUACCUAAUCAGAAAGCCACGGCUAACUACGUG
RNAcentral lists this ribosomal RNA (497 nucleotides) under uncultured bacterium. RNAcentral's name for it is "partial 16S ribosomal RNA". It matches the Rfam family "Bacterial small subunit ribosomal RNA", at positions 28 to 507 of the family's 1533-position model. The record is from RNAcentral.